This 3789-nucleotide long non-coding RNA is filed under the name Homo sapiens (human). RNAcentral's name for it is "HSALNT0341552". Lineage: Eukaryota; Metazoa; Chordata; Mammalia; Primates; Hominidae. The record is from RNAcentral.
AAAAAAAAAAGCAGGUGAAAUUUGUGCAGGGGGAUCUCACCUGAACAAGGAUCAGAAAGACAAGGGGUUGUCCCCAAACCUACCCACCCUCCUAGUGGCAGCUGGACCCUGGACCCCCUCACCACCACCAGCCUACCCCAUGCUAUCCAUCACCGGCCAGCUCAUGUCCUAAACAUCUCUGCAUCCCUCCUCUCUCUCCAUCCACGCUGCUGCCUCACUGGUCCUGGCCACCACGGCUCUCUCAGCUAGGCUGCAGUCACUUCCAGGCUGGAUUCCCCACCCCUGCCCUUGACCUUCUCCUGUCCUCUACUCCACAAGGCAGCCAGAAGAAUCUGCCAAUGUAUCCAGUCUUCUCUUGGGCUAGAGCCUUCUGGUGGCUUCCAAUCUGCACCCAUCCAAGCCCUUUGUGUCAGGCACCAUCUCAUCUUCAUAAAUCCUGUUUCUAUUGCCUGGAGGACUCCCCCAGCCCUAACUUCCCCUGUUCCUAAAUGACAUUUCACCACCCUUCAGAUCUCAAUGUCACUUUUGACAGAAACCUUAGCCAGGCAUGAUAGCACACACCUGUGGUCCCAGCUACUCUGAAGACUGAGGAGAAAUGAUCUCUUGAAGUCAGGAGCUGGGGGUUGCAGUGAGCUAGGAUUGCACCACUGCACUCCAACCUGGACAACAGAGCAAGACCCUGUCUCUAGGCCAGGUGCAGUGGCUCACACCUGUAAUCCCAGCACUUUGGGAGGCUAAGGCAGACAGAUCACCUGAGGUCAGAAGUUCGAGACCAGCCUGGCCAACAUUGUGAAACUCCAUCUUUACUAAAAAUACAAAAAUUAGCCGGGUGUGGUGGCAUGCACCUGUAAUCCCAGCUACUUGGGAGGCUGAGGCGGGAGAAUUGCUUGAACCUGGGAGGCAGAGGUUGCAGUGAGCCAAGAUUGCACCACUGCACUCCAGCAUAGACAAUGAAGCAAGAAAAAAAAGAAAAGACCUUGUCUCUAAAAAGAGAGAGAGAGAAACCCUGCAUGGACCUCCAUUCAUAUGGCCGUUCUGUUACUAGAAGGGUCCAGACCAACACAAGAGCACUAGGAGCCAAAGAUGAAAUUCACAAAAGAGCAAUUAUGAGAAAUGGGAGAAAGAUGGAGGGACUGCAACAUAGGGCUAAUGGAAGUUUUAGAAAAACAGCAGAAAAUCACAGAGAAGCAAUAUAUGAUGGACAAUCAAUGAGAAUUUUCAAAAACUAGGCUGGGCGUUUUGGCUCAUGCCUAUAAACCCAGCACUUUGGGAGGCUGAAGCAAGUGGAUCAACUGAGGUCAGGAGUUCCAGACCAGCCUGGCCAAUAUGGUGAAACCUCGUCUCUACUAAAAAUACAAAAAUUAGCCUGGCGUGGUGGCGUGCACCUGUAGUCCCACCUACUCAGGAGGCUAAGGCAGGAGAAUCACUUGAACCCGGGAGGCAGAGGUUGCAGUGAGCCAAUAUUGUGCCACUGCACUCCAGACUGGAUGACAGAGCAAGACUCCAUCUCAAAAAAAAAAAAAAAAAAGGAAAAGAAAGAAAAAAGAACUAAAGAGUCAUACAAGUCCUCAAAUCAAAAACAUACUCCAAGAACAAACAGCAUAAAUUAAUAUGUCUAUAUAGGGUUCUAUCAUUAUUAAACCACUUAAAAUCAAGGAUAAAGAGGAAUUUUUUUCUUUUUUUUUUCUUUUUUUGAGAUAGGGUCUCACUCUGUCACCCAGGCUGGAGUGCAGUGGUGCAAUCAUAGCUCACUGUAGCCUCAAACUCCUGGGCUCAAGCAAUUCUCCCACCUCAGACUCCCAAGUAACUGGGACUACAAGCCUGCAAGCAGGCACCACCAUGCCUAGCUAAUAUUUGUAUUUUUUUAGAGAUGGGAUCUUGCUAUGUUGCCCAGGAUGGAAAUCUUUUUUGUUGUUGUUGGUUUUUUUUUUUUUUUUUUUUUUGGAGAUGGAGUUUCACUCUUGUUGCCCAGGCUGGAGUGCAAUGGCGCCAUCUCAGCUCACUACAACCUCCACCUCCCGGGUUCAAGUAGUUCUCCUGCCUCAGCCUCCCGAGUAGUUGGGAUUACAGGCAUGCACCACCACGCCUGGCUUUUUUUUUUUUUUUUUUUUUUUUUUUGUAUUUUUUUAGUAGAGACAGGGUUUCUCCAUGUUGGUCAGGCUGGUCUCAAACUCCCAAAGUGAAGUGAUCAGCCUGCCUCGGCCUCCCGGAGUGCUGGGACUACAGGCCUGAGCUACUGCGCCCAACCUCAGGAUGGAAAUCUUAAAAGUUACUAGGCCAGGUGCGGUGGCUCAUGCCUAUAAUCCCAGCACUUUGGGAGGCCGAUAUGGGCAGAUCAGCAGAGGUCAGGAGUUUGAGAUUAUCCUGACCAACAUUGUGAAACCCUGCCUCUACUAAAAAUAAAAAAAAAAAAAAAAAUUAGCCAGGCAUGGUGGUGUGCGCUUGUAAUCCCAGCUGCUUGGGAGGCUGAGGCAGGAUAAUCACUUGAACCUUGGAGGCCAAGGUUGCAGUGAGCCAAGAUCACGCCACUGCUCACCAGCCUGGGCAACAAUCUGUGAAGAAAGAAAAAAGAGAAGAGAAGGGAAGGGAGGGGAGGGGAAGGGGGAGAGGACGGGGAAGGGGAAGGGAAGGGAAGGGAAGACAAUUAAAAAAAAAAAAACAGGCAAAGAAUAUGAACAGGCAAUUCACAGAAGGAAAACCCAAAUGACCCACAAACAUGAAUAGAUGUUCAACCACAAUGACAAUCAGAGAAAUUGUAAAAAUAAAGCAGCAACAAUAUAUCAUUUUACAUUUAUCAGCUAAGCAAAAGCUAAAGUCUGAUAAUCCCAAUUAUUGAUGGGUGUGUAGAAAAAGGAGAUUCUGACACAUGCUGGUAGAGUGUCAGUUGGUAUAAGCCCUUGGAGAGCAAAACAGAGAUAUUCACCACCCUCUUGUCCCAACCAUUCCACAUACUAUUCUACGUAAAUAUCUUGCAGAGAGAUUCCAGCACUAGUGCUAUAGAAUACAUUUACAGGAAUGUUUAUUGCAACAUUGUUUAAAACAAGAGAAAAAACAGAAACAAAGUAAACGUUCACCAACAGGAGACUGGAUAAACAAAGUAUAAUGUAUAAUGGAAUAUGUUGUAGCAGUUAAAAUAAAUAAAGAAAAGCUACAUGUAUCAUUAUAGUCUACGUAGUAUCAACUUGGAUAAACCUCAAAAGUCAUUAGUAGUGAGCAAAAAAAGCAGGUUGCAGAAGGAUACAUACAAUAUGAUACCAGUUAUAUACAAUGUUUAUGGUUCAACUUUUCCAGUCUGGUUUAUUGAGCUACAAUUUGCAUACAGUGAAAUUGACUAGUCUUUGUGUACAGUUUUGUGAGUCUGGCAGAAUGCAUACCUUUAGGUAGACAUCAUCACAAUCAAGAUAUAAAAGGGUUCCAUCAUUCCCCAAAAUUGCACACUGCCCUAUUGUAGUCAAGUCUUACCCCCACCUCACAUCUCCUGUAAUCAUGGAGCACAUGGCAUUUUGAGUCUGUCUUCUUCCACUUAGCAUAAUGCCUUUGAGAUUCAUUCAUGUUGUUGAGUAUCUCAACAGCUUUUUUUUUAACUGCUGAAUAGUAGUCUACUGUAUGGAUGUACCAAUUUAUCCAUUCUGUAGUUGAAGUGCAUUUGACUUGUUUGUACUUUGGGGCAAUUAUAAAUAAACUGACCAUAAAUAUUUGUGAACCGACUUUUGUUUGAAUACAAAUUUUCAUUUCUCCUGGUUAAACACCUAAAAAUGGGAUUGCUGGGUCAUGUGGUAAGUGUAUGUU